RNAcentral lists this transfer RNA (95 nucleotides) under Parasitella parasitica. It matches the Rfam family "tRNA". From Rfam's summary of the family: Transfer RNA (tRNA) molecules are approximately 80 nucleotides in length. The record is from Rfam by way of RNAcentral. Lineage: Eukaryota; Fungi; Mucoromycota; Mucoromycetes; Mucorales; Mucoraceae.
GCUCUCUUAGCUCAGUCUGGUUAGAGCGUCGUGCUUAUAGCUUAAACUAUACUAGAGUCACGCGAAGGUCGCGAGUUCGAUCCUCGCAUGGAGCA